UUGGAGGGCAAGUCUGGUGCCAGCAGCCGCGGUAAUUCCAGCUCCAAUAGCGUAUAUUAAAGUUGUUGCAGUUAAAAAGCUCGUAGUUGAAUUUCGGGAUCAGAGUGUCGGUCGUGCCUCGGUACGCACUGGUAUUAUUGGUUCCUACCUUCUGAAGAACCGCGAUGUCAUUAAUUUGGUGUCGUGGGGAAUCAGGACUGUUACUUUGAAAAAAUUAGAGUGUUUAAAGCAGGCUAACGCUUGAAUACAUUAGCAUGGAAUAAUGAAAUAGGACGUUUGAUUCUAUUUUGUUGGUUUCUAGGAUUGACGUAAUGAUUAAUAGGGAUAGUUGGGGGCAUUAGUAUUCAAUUGUCAGAGGUGAAAUUCUUGGAUUUAUUGAAGACUAACUACUGCGAAAGCAUUUGCCAAGGAUGUUUUCAUUAAUCAAGAACGAAAGUUAGGGGAUCGAAGACGAUCAGAUACCGUCGUAGUCCUAACCAUAAACUAUGCCGACUAGGGAUCGGAUGAUGUUAAUUUUUUAAUGACUCAUUCGGCGCCUUACGGGAAAC
Molecule: ribosomal RNA, 548 nt
Filed under: uncultured Glomeromycotina
Lineage: Eukaryota; Fungi; Glomeromycota
Description: SSU rRNA
Rfam family: Eukaryotic small subunit ribosomal RNA
Source: RNAcentral